CACCUAUAAGUGAGAACAUGCGGUGUUUGGUUUUUUGUCCUUGGGAUAGUUUGGACAUGAACUCAUCAUUUUUUAUGGCUGCAUAGUAUUCCAUGGUGUAUAUGUGCCACAUUUUCUUAAUCCAGUCUAUCAUUGUUGGACAUUUGGGUUGAUUCCAAGUGUUUGCUAUUGUGAAUAGUGCUGCAAUAAACAUACAUGUGCAUGUGUCUUUAUAGCAGCACGGUUUAUAAUCCUUUGGGUGUAUACCCAGUAAUGGGAUGGCUGGGUCAAAUGGUAUUUCUACUUCUAGAUCCCUGAGGAAUCGCCACACUGACUUCCACAUGGUUGAACUAGUUUACAGUCCCACCAACAGUGUA
RNAcentral lists this long non-coding RNA (356 nucleotides) under Homo sapiens (human). RNAcentral describes it as "non-protein coding lnc-GCLC-2:1". The record is from RNAcentral. Lineage: Eukaryota; Metazoa; Chordata; Mammalia; Primates; Hominidae.